AAACAGGUGCUAAUACCGCAUAAGACCACGGAAUCACAUGAUUUUGAGGUAAAAGGAGCAAUCCGGUUUGGGGUGAGUUCGCGUCCGAUUAGCUAAUUGGCGAGGUAACGGCCCACCAAGGCGACGAUCGGUAGCCGACCUGAGAGGGUGAUCGGCCACAUUGGAACUGAGAGACGGUCCAAACUCCUACGGGAGGCAGCAGUGGGGAAUAUUGGGCAAUGGGCGAAAGCCUGACCCAGCAACGCCGCGUGAGGGAAGAAGGUUUUCGGAUUGUAAACCUCUGUCCUAAGGGACGAAGGAAGUGACGGUACCUUAGGAGGAAGCCCCGGCUAACUACGUGCCAGCAGCCGCGGUAAUACGUAGGGGGCGAGCGUUGUCCGGAAUGACUGGGCGUAAAGGGCGUGUAGGCGGCCGAUUAAGUGUGGAGUGAAAGUCCAUUUUUCAAGGAUGGAAUUGCUUUGCAGACUGGUUGGCUUGAGUGCGGAAGAGGUAAGUGGAAUUCCCAGUGUAGCGGUGAAAUGCGUAGAGAUUGGGAGGAACACCAGUGGCGAAGGCGACUUACUGGGCCGUAACUGACGCUGAGGCGCGAAAGCGUGGGGAGCGAACAGGAUUAGAUACCCUGGUAGUCCACGCUGUAAACGAUGAAUAAUAGUGGUUGCGGGUAUCGACCCCCGCAGGGCCGGAGUCAACACAAUAAGCAUUCCGCCUGGGGAGUACGGCCGCAAGGUUGAAAUUCAAAGGAAUAGACGGGGGCCCGCACAAGCAGCGGAGCAUGUUGUUUUAAUUAGAAGCAACGCGAAGAACCUUACCAUGUCUUGACAUCGAGGAAAAGCGCUAGAGAUAGCGUGUGCCUUCGGGCAUCCAAAGACAGGUGGUGCAUGGUUGUCGUCAGCUCGUGUCGUGAGAUGUUGGGUUAAGUCCCGCAACGAGCGCAACCCUUAUGGUCAGUUACUAACGCGUAGAGGCGAGGACUCUGACAAGACUGCCGGGGACAACUCGGAGGAAGGUGGGGACGACGUCAAAUCAUCAUGCCCCUUAUGACAUGGGCUACAAACGUGCUACAAUGGUGGCUACUAAGAGGAGCGAGCGUGUGAGCGUAAGCGGAUCUCAAAAAAGCCAUCUCAGUUCGGACUGUGGGCUGCAACCCGCCCACACGAAGUUGGAGUUGCUAGUAAUCGCGGAUCAGCAUGCCGCGGUGAAUACGUUCCCGGGCCUUGCACA
RNAcentral lists this ribosomal RNA (1221 nucleotides) under uncultured bacterium. RNAcentral describes it as "bacterial SSU rRNA". It matches the Rfam family "Bacterial small subunit ribosomal RNA", at positions 154 to 1387 of the family's 1533-position model. The record is from RNAcentral.